GUGAUGUGUUCACGUAGAAGUCCUCAGAUGAACUUCCAGGACCAUUGUAUUAAAAGAUCUCAGUCUGCCGAUACGUCUCCUCAUUUUGAAAGAAAUGAGGAAAAUCCAAGAUCAGAAAACAGCCAGUGACCUUGAACUCAGCCUGGUUGUAAUAUCCGGCCUGACUCCUCUGCCACCAUUUCCUAGGACCCCUUUAUCCUCCUCGCCAAGCAUAAAGACCCCCAAGCCUCGGGGAAAGCCUGGAUAUGUUCAAUAUAAGCGGGCUGUUCUCAUUUUUCCACCCACCUCUGAUUUGCUGGGACCCCAAAUGCAAGCUCACUCCUUCUAGGGCUUGAUGCAGCAACCCAGGCUGGAAUUCUCUCCAGUCUCCACAGCAGCCCUGAGAAAGGAGGCACUGCCAUCUCUGUCUUACAGAGGAGGAAACGGGGGCUCAAAGAGAUUGGACUACUUGUGUGGCAGUCACACAGUAAAUA
Bos taurus (domestic cattle) is the source of this 473-nucleotide long non-coding RNA. The record is from Ensembl. Lineage: Eukaryota; Metazoa; Chordata; Mammalia; Artiodactyla; Bovidae.